Molecule: transfer RNA, 72 nt
Filed under: Bos taurus (domestic cattle)
Lineage: Eukaryota; Metazoa; Chordata; Mammalia; Artiodactyla; Bovidae
Also listed under: 1 other name
Rfam family: tRNA
About the family: Transfer RNA (tRNA) molecules are approximately 80 nucleotides in length.
Source: Rfam by way of RNAcentral
UCCGGGGUGACUUAGUUGGUAAAGAAUCUGCCCGCAAUGCAGGAGACCUGGGUUCAAUCCCUGGGUCAGGAA